This 87-nucleotide transfer RNA is filed under the name Sphingopyxis sp. HIX. Its description in RNAcentral is "tRNA-Phe". It matches the Rfam family "tRNA". Rfam says of the family: Transfer RNA (tRNA) molecules are approximately 80 nucleotides in length. Their secondary structure includes four short double-helical elements and three loops (D, anti-codon, and T loops). Further hydrogen bonds mediate the characteristic L-shaped molecular structure. tRNAs have two regions of fundamental functional importance: the anti-codon, which is responsible for specific mRNA codon recognition, and the 3' end, to which the tRNAs corresponding amino acid is attached (by aminoacyl-tRNA synthetases). tRNAs cope with the degeneracy of the genetic code in two manners: having more than one tRNA (with a specific anti-codon) for a particular amino acid; and 'wobble' base-pairing, i.e. permitting non-standard base-pairing at the 3rd anti-codon position. RNAcentral also lists the same sequence under 1 other name. The record is from RNAcentral. Lineage: Bacteria; Pseudomonadati; Pseudomonadota; Alphaproteobacteria; Sphingomonadales; Sphingopyxidaceae.
GGCCGGUUGGCGGAGCGGUUAACGCACCCGUGUGAAAAUCGGAGGUCGUCUGUGGUGGACGCGAGGGUUCGAAUCCCUCACCGGUCU